This is a long non-coding RNA of Neofelis nebulosa (Clouded leopard), 1344 nucleotides long. RefSeq lists it as uncharacterized. The transcript has 8 exons. The record is from RefSeq and is a predicted model, not a curated record. Lineage: Eukaryota; Metazoa; Chordata; Mammalia; Carnivora; Felidae.
GAUUUUGCAACAUUCUGAAAGAUGGGUAUCUUGAAAUUACCUAGGUAACUACCCGCAAGCACAAUUCUGACAUCGUUGGGCCUGAAUUCUGGAUGCAGAGGCUGGGGGCUGGUCAGCGAGGAACAAUGGUCAUUUGUGAAGGAGAGGACACUUGAGAGCUUGGUGUCUCUAUAACGGGAGGCAAAACCAUGUUCACCAAUAAGGUUUCAACCCUUUAUUUAGUGAAAUGAAGUGUUAGGGAACACAGAGGGGGUUUUUAAGAGCUUACACGUCCAUCAGAACCAGAGCCACGGUGUGGGAAGAGAACCGCAAGACAUUUCCUCAAAUACCUGUGGCUUUGUGCACUAACUCCUCCAGUCCUCACAACGGCCCAUGAGAACGGCACUUUUGUUUUAUCAUGGCCAUUUCACAGACACGGAACCCAAAUCAGGAGGAGCAACAACAAAAACAAACAAAAAAGAAACAAACAAGAACAUAGUUCGAAGGAGAAAUGACUUGGCACCUGAGUUCAAGACUGUCUUAACCCAGAUGAAGGAAUCAAAGACCAGGAACACAAGCAAUUUGGUUACAAAGAAUUACACAGAAGUGAAAUGAGAAUGGAAGCAAUUUCUUCUGAACCCUAGAACCACGGGGCAGCAUUACCAUGAAGUGACCUUAGAAUCAGGGAUGGUCUGAGAAAACAUCUUUAGCUGAUGUGAGUAAAAAGACAGCCAAUGUCUUUGAAAGACAAAACCAAACUAUGAAAGAUCUAGGAAAGGCUAAGAUUUCACCUUUUGGAAUGUCACCUUGACACGGAGCUUUAAAGGGGGCCAGGAGAGGCAAGGAAAAAAAAGAAAAAUUUUACACAAAUACUCACCUUCAUACAACUUACCAAAAUACGGAAAGAAGGCUUUUGCUUCAAGAAUGACCACAGAAGUGAUAAUUCCAAAGAAAAAAGUAAACAGUUUGAUUACCAAUACAAAAAUUAAUAAAUGGAAUAGCAUUAAGCAAUGCCAGAUUUCAGUGGCAAAACAGAUUCAGAAUUUAUACCCUGUGUUGUGCUCUGACCACUAAACAACAUACAGCUUCCAGAAACCACAGACUGCAUUAUAGCUGACAUCGGGGCUAUGCUGUUUGAGUUUUCUCAAAUCGUUGCAAAUCUCCAAAAAUUUUUCCAAUAUAAUUUUUUUAAAAAUUCUACAUACGGCUCAAAUCUGUGGAGUUUAAGUGUCAACUUCAUAGUGUCCUUGGUUAAAGACGACGUUGUGGAAAGGCACACGCUGACAAGAGAAAUUUCCUCUCCUCUCCAAGAAACCAGACCUGCCAAUAUGAUAUCAAUUAAACAAUCGGGUGUUUUGCUCUCCA